This 973-nucleotide long non-coding RNA is filed under the name Homo sapiens (human). RNAcentral's name for it is "HSALNT0104176". Lineage: Eukaryota; Metazoa; Chordata; Mammalia; Primates; Hominidae. The record is from RNAcentral.
GCUGGUCACACGCAGUCAGCUCUGGCGGGUGCAUUUGCACCACGAGAAGUGAGUUGUUAAACAUUUACCAGCACACACGCUGCAGGGGACCUAAGGAGAGUGAUGGCACUGGAAAGAGGAAUGCUCCUGCUUCUAAUCCUCCUUGAUAGAGGCGCUCCCCUUUUGUUUUUGAAGAAUUUAUAGAAGCUUUUCCACCGGGGAGCUUCAGCUAGGUCUUCUCAUCAGUGCUGUGUGCCAGACAAGCCAGAUGAUCAAGGAAGUACCUACACUUUGGACACUGUCAGUUUGCCUGGGGACUGAGAGCUUACAGUCCAAGCUUGCUUCAACUCUGGCUGAGGCCAACAGAGAGAGCCCAAAGACAACUGAAGGAGCGGCAGAAAACAAAUAUGGGAACGGGGCUUAAUCCCAUCGGGACUAAGGGAGGAGCCUUCCCUUCCAGCCUCACACAGGCAGACUAUCUCAAAAGAAAGAGAAAGCAAUUUUCCCUUGCAUGCUGGCUGUUUCACUUCCUUCUACUUUUAGGAAAUGAGAAACUCUCUGUGCCUAAGAAACCUCUUCACCAAAGAUCUUCACAUCCCAAACCUUGGUCCAUGUCCUCAAGGAUAUCAUGGAGUCCAAGAUGGGUCAAGUGAGACUGAAACGGAUUUUAGAGACCAGUGUUCUCCCACAGGCAUGGAGCUGAUGAGGAGACACAGUGUCCCUAAAGGCAGGCACUUCACUGUCCUCAGGGUGGGGAGGACCAGCGGUCUCGGUUUUCCUCACUUGCCCCCAGGGCUGCUCCUCCCAGCUCUGCUCCAGCCCCUGACACUCCUACCUUCUGUUUAGUUCUCCCAGACCUGAAACAGGAGGCUAUCGCUAGUGCUGAAUGAUUAAAUAAGUGCAUCUGCUCUAUGUGACAGCCAGACUGUGGGUGUGUGCUUGUAUAUUGCUGUGAAGAGAGGUUUCCUAUAUCAUGAGGACACUCUUUCGCUGU